GGGGCUGACCGGAAUUGACUGGUUAGUACUGUAUAGGUUGGCACGUAGAGCGUUGGUAGGAGGCUCUUAAAUCUGAACUACUAUAAACUUCAAUUGGCGAAACAACUUUCGCUAUGGCAGCCUAAGACCAAGUCUUAGCCAGCCUUUGUUCGAUAGCACGGUUGGACUCGUCGCCAGCUAAAGAGCAUCAUCUCAGACGGGGAUCGCAUGUCCUAUCUACUUUGUAGGCCAUGUUAAAAACAGAAGUUAAGCGAUGUGUAGGAUGGACAAUUAUCCAGCAAAUCGUCGAAAACCCAAAAAUUGUCUAAACGUGUAGAAGGCUUAUGUAGGCUCUCGCAGGACCAGAGUUCGAAUCUCUGCAGCUCCACAA
This 370-nucleotide transfer-messenger RNA is filed under the name Chitinophagales. Its description in RNAcentral is "JADJOU01 sp016713645 Standard tmRNA". It matches the Rfam family "transfer-messenger RNA". From Rfam's summary of the family: Bacterial tmRNA, also known as 10Sa RNA or SsrA, is named for its dual tRNA and mRNA-like properties. Its role is to liberate the mRNA from a stalled ribosome. To accomplish this part of the tmRNA is used as a reading frame that ends in a translation stop signal. RNAcentral also lists the same sequence under 1 other name. The record is from RNAcentral. Lineage: Bacteria; Pseudomonadati; Bacteroidota; Chitinophagia.